ACACAAUAUCUUUAUUUUUAUGUGGUGCUGAAGAUCGAACCCAGAGCCUCACAUGUGCGAGACAAGUGCUGUACCGCUGAACCACAACUGCAGCCUCUGUGGUUUACUUUUUUUCUUUUCUUUGUUUGGUGCUUGAGAUUGACCCAGGGCCUAGCAUGUGCUAAGCAUACACUUUCCCAUGGAACUACAAAUAUGGAAUAUGUGUUGUGAUGUGAUGCAAAUUAACAUUAUUUCUAAUGAAGCAGUUAUUUAAAUUUAGGAGUUAACAGUGUUGCUGCCACUGUCGUCAUUAUUAUCAUCAUCAUGAUUAUUAUUUGUUGUACUGGGCAUUAAACCCAGUGAUGCUCUAUCAUUGAGCUACAUCCCUGACUCUUUUAUUUUUUUAGUUUGUGACAGAGUCUCACUAAUUUCCUGAGGCUGGCCUCAAACUUGUAAUUUUUUCUGCCUCAGCCUCCAGAGUACCUGGGAUCACAGGUGUGUGACAUUAUGCACAGCUUUGCUAUUAUUGCUUAACAUUUUUUCUGGUGGUUCUAGCCAAUUGAGUUAUGGGAGAAUAUAUGCUUAAAAAACUGGAAAGAAAAGUGAAAUCCUCAAUUUUUUUAAAAUUCUUUUUUUUAUUUUUUAAUUUUUUUUAUUGUUGGUUGUUCAAAACAUUACAUAGUUCUUGAUAUAUCAUCUUUCACACUUUGCUUCAAGUGGGUUAUGAACUCCCAUUUUUAGCCCAUAUACAGAUUGCAGAAUCACAUCAAUUACACAUCCAUUGAUUUAAAUUCUUUUUUUUUUAAUAUCUUUAUUUUUAUUUUUAUGUGGUGCUGAGAAUCGAAC
RNAcentral lists this long non-coding RNA (825 nucleotides) under Marmota monax (woodchuck). Lineage: Eukaryota; Metazoa; Chordata; Mammalia; Rodentia; Sciuridae. The record is from RNAcentral.